UGCAGAAUCCCGUGAACCAUCGAGUUUUUGAACGCAAGUUGCGCCCAAAGCCUUUUGGUCGAGGGCACGUCUGCCUGGGCGUCACAC
RNAcentral lists this ribosomal RNA (87 nucleotides) under Kleinia abyssinica var. hildebrandtii. Its description in RNAcentral is "partial 5.8S ribosomal RNA". It matches the Rfam family "5.8S ribosomal RNA", at positions 73 to 154 of the family's 154-position model. Rfam says of the family: 5.8S ribosomal RNA (5.8S rRNA) is a component of the large subunit of the eukaryotic ribosome. It is transcribed by RNA polymerase I as part of the 45S precursor that also contains 18S and 28S rRNA. Lineage: Eukaryota; Viridiplantae; Streptophyta; Magnoliopsida; Asterales; Asteraceae. The record is from RNAcentral.